Molecule: ribosomal RNA, 497 nt
Filed under: uncultured bacterium
Lineage: Bacteria
Description: partial 16S ribosomal RNA
Rfam family: Bacterial small subunit ribosomal RNA
Source: RNAcentral
GGGGGGGGGGGGGGGGGGGGGGGGGGGAGGCGGGGCGGGGGGGGAGAGGGGGGGCGGGCUCCUCGGGCGGUAGCGGCGGCCGGGGGGGUAACACGUGGAUAACCUCCCUAUAAGACGGGGCGGACUUCGGGAACCCGGGGCUAGUACCGGAUAAUAUAUUGAACCGCAUGGGUCAAUAGUUAAAGGCGGUUUUGCUGUCACUUAUAGCUGGCUCCGCGCCGCCUUAGCUCUUUGGUCAGGUAACGGCUUACCAAGGCAACGAUGCGUAGCCGACCUGAGAGGGUGAUCGGCCACACUGGAACUGAGACACGGUCCAGACUCCUACGGGAGGCAGCAGUAGGGAAUCUUCCGCAAUGGGCGAAAGCCUGACGGAGCAACGCCGCGUGAGUGACGAAGGUCUUCGGAUCGUAAAACUCUGUUAUGAGGGAAGAACAAAUGUGUAAGUAACUAUGCACGUCUUGACGGUACCUAAUCAGAAAGCCACGGCUAACUACGUG